Molecule: ribosomal RNA, 269 nt
Filed under: uncultured bacterium
Lineage: Bacteria
Description: partial 16S ribosomal RNA
Rfam family: Bacterial small subunit ribosomal RNA
Source: RNAcentral
GUCCACGCCGUAAACGAUGAGUACUAGGUGUUGCGGGUAUUGACCCCUGCAGUGCCGCAGCUAACGCAUUAAGUACUCCGCCUGGGAAGUACGGUCGCAAGACUAAAAACUCAAAAGGAAUUGACGGGGGCCCGCACAAGCGGUGGAGCAUGUGGUUUAAUUCGACGCAACGCGCAGAACCUUACCUGGUCUUGACAUCUACGGAACCUUCGUGAAAAGCGAGGGGUGCCUUUCGGGGAGCCGUAAGACAGGUGCUGCAUGGCUGUCGU